Molecule: non-coding RNA, 21 nt
Filed under: Caenorhabditis elegans
Lineage: Eukaryota; Metazoa; Nematoda; Chromadorea; Rhabditida; Rhabditidae
Source: RNAcentral
UUUCCCAACUGUCGCUUCUCU